This 572-nucleotide ribosomal RNA is filed under the name uncultured bacterium. RNAcentral's name for it is "bacterial SSU rRNA". It matches the Rfam family "Bacterial small subunit ribosomal RNA", at positions 338 to 873 of the family's 1533-position model. The record is from RNAcentral.
CCUACGGGAGGCAGCAGUGGGGAAUAUUGGACAAUGGGCGAAAGCCUGAUCCAGCAAUGCCGCGUGAGUGAUGAAGGCCUUCGGGUCGUAAAGCUCUUUUACCAGGGAUGAUAAUGACAGUACCUGGAGAAUAAGCUCCGGCUAACUCCGUGCCAGCAGCCGCGGUAAUACGGAGGGAGCUAGCGUUGUUCGGAAUUACUGGGCGUAAAGAGUACGUAGGCGGUUAUUCAAGUCAGAGGUGAAAGCCCGGGGCUCAACCCCGGAACUGCCUUUGAAACUAGAUAACUAGAGUCUUGGAGAGGUUAGUGGAAUUCCGAGUGUAGAGGUGAAAUUCGUAGAUAUUCGGAAGAACACCAGUGGCGAAGGCGACUAACUGGACAAGUACUGACGCUGAGGUACGAAAGCGUGGGGAGCAAACAGGAUUAGAUACCCUGGUAGUCCACGCCGUAAACGAUGAUAACUAGUUGUUCGGUCACUUGGUGACUGAGUGACGCAGCUAACGCAUUAAGUAUCGCCUGGGGNGUGUGNANAUAAUANANANAUNAGNNGNGANGCGAGCGACACGAGGAGAG